UGGCUUCUCCAUGGGUGUGCCAGUCAUGUCUGUGUAUGGGUUUCUCUGUGUGCAUGUGGGGGUGUGGAAGGAAGAACUAAGUUCUCAAUAGCUUUUCCAGACUCCCAUCCAGAGCCCAAGACUCAAAGUGAAAAUGCUGUCAAACGCUUAAAGGAAAAUUGCUGCUGAUACAGGGUUUCAGAUCCCCAGACUUUCAUGAAAUAGGCUGAGUGACUUUUGAAGGGCUACCUGUGAAUUAUCAUUUAGUAAAGUGAAAACACAAAGGCUCCAUUUGGGGGCUCCCUGCUGUUGGAGACUGCUGAGCAUCUCUGAACCGGCUCUGCGUUGGUGAGAAAGUGUCAAGCAUCCCAUUGCUUUUACUAUCUAUGUAAUACUAAAAGAUAUGCAUUUGCUCUGUGUGUCCUCUGGGGAAAUACAUUUCUGCAUGUAAGUUCAUGAAAAGUGGUAGCAAAAACUGCCACGAAAGGGUUCCAAGAAGGGGUAACCAGAAGAUAAGAAGAAAAGGCUCCACACUGUCGCCAAAGCUCAGAUGUAGGAAGAGGGUAUACUACAGCCUUCUUGUGCUCGGGAACACAGCACUUCAGCACUCCGCUUGGGGACCGUUUCAAACAGAUUAAAUCAUGGACAAAAAGUACAAAAUGCUAAAAACAUGGCAUUAACUAGACUGUGGAAAGGACACAUUAACAGUUUGAGAGUCGAAACAAGAAGGCAGAGCAUCACCUUGUCUGACCUCAGCUGGGAAUGCGUGCAUAGGGCUAUUCAAAUUUCUUGACACUUGGCACACGGCUGCAAAUGACUAUGAAAGCAUUGCAAAUAUUUAUUUGGAAGUUACAAAUAAAUUCUAACAAGUAGGCAAAUUUGUAAAUACGGAAUCCGUGAAUAACAAGAAUCAACUGUACCAAUGUAAAA
Dama dama (fallow deer) is the source of this 909-nucleotide long non-coding RNA. RefSeq lists it as uncharacterized. The transcript is spliced from 3 exons. Lineage: Eukaryota; Metazoa; Chordata; Mammalia; Artiodactyla; Cervidae. The record is from RefSeq and is a predicted model, not a curated record.